Molecule: ribosomal RNA, 24 nt
Filed under: Cladonia farinacea
Lineage: Eukaryota; Fungi; Ascomycota; Lecanoromycetes; Lecanorales; Cladoniaceae
Also listed under: 1 other name
Description: partial 28S ribosomal RNA
Source: RNAcentral
UUGACCUCGGAUCAGGUAGGGAUC